Molecule: long non-coding RNA, 2196 nt
Organism: Pangasianodon hypophthalmus (striped catfish)
Lineage: Eukaryota; Metazoa; Chordata; Actinopteri; Siluriformes; Pangasiidae
Exons: 3
Source: RefSeq, a predicted model, not a curated record
GAAGUUUGAGGUUCCUUAUUUUGUUUCAGCACAGAAUAUAUUGACAUAAUGGUAUUGUGAAGUUGAGAAAAGUCAAACACACUAUGAUUACAUGGAAAGAAAUGGAUGCCUGCAUGAGGUAAUUGGACUAAAUCCAACAUGCAGAAAUUCUUUGAAAGGCUUAGGCUUUGGCAGAAUGCUAAUUAAAAUGCUUGAAAUUUUCCAUAUGAAUUGUAUCUACACCCAAGACAAUGAGGAAAUAAUUAUCACAGAGGUAGAAUCACAAUGGCCAUUUUAAUCAACCUCUGUGCUAGCAUUUCACCCUAUUUAUACCGCUUUGAUUUCAUGACCCACUGCGAAGUAAUCACUUGAAAAUUAGCCUUCUGUUCUAAUGGGCCCUUGCGUUGGAGACAUGUGAUCAGACAAAAUUAGCAUUCUGUGUAACGUGAAUGAUAUGAAGCCAUUCUUUAAAACUAAAGUGAUUAGGAUACGCAGGUGCGAGGAAAACAUAUGCCGCUAUAUUCUUUCACUUUUUAACCAAUUUCUUCACAAUGACAUUGCUCAGUCUGAGGGAAAGAAAAAAUACCCACAAAGAUCCUAAAAGAUUAGUGCCUGCCAUUUAUGUGACUAAUAUGGGUCGACAAUUUAAAUACAUUUUGUACACAAUCCGGUCUGUUAUUAAAUAGUUCUGUACAACAUACUGAGACUGCCGUGCCUCUUUCUACACAUGUACUAAAUUCAUGUUCUCAGGAUGAAAUAUUAGCCCCCACCAAGCUUCUCUAACCACAGACAUCAUAAACACCAUCCAAUGUGAAGUAAAUUUGAUUCAAUCUCUGAACUAUUUUUAUUGAGUGGUAUUCAUGAUAAUGAAGCGGCCAUGAAAAACACAGAUAAUAUACAUAAACAGAGCCACUGCACAAUGACAUGGAACAAUGUAACCUUGUGAGAGUAAGCACUGAAGCAUGGCUAUUUCGGGCUAGUAUUCAGGAGACCACAUUUUCAUUUGAACACACUGUCAUACGGUGUUCCUUUUCAAACUUGCAACAAUCGCAUUAUAAAACGAUGACAUCAUUUUAUAAUGACAUGACCGAUUAACAACACCGAGAAAUACCUAUAGAGGUAUUAGAAAAUAGCUCUCUCUCUCAUGUCUUACAUUUUUUUUGUUGUAAUUCUAUCCACUCCACUCAAAACACAACUAACUUCCCUAAAGUGACUGAAACACAGUAACAAACAUAUCAAAACUAAGAAACAUCUCUGACUGUUUAAGCUGUCUUCUAAAACAUACCAAUUUAGCAGUGUCUAAAGUUAUAGUUGUAUAUUUGUGUAUUAGAGCAGCUUCAGAGUUUUUCAUAGACGAUGGACAGACGCACACAUAAGAUAGUAAGAGAAAGUUUUUAUUCCAUUAUUGCAUUAAGGCUGGUGUUUCUAAUCUAUCGGCUUUUGUUCAUGGUUUUAUCCUGACAUUUAUAGAGUCUGAGCUGAGUCACGAAACAGUCAAGAGCAAGUUGAGUCAUGAGUCAGUCAGCGCGCAACUUAAGUGUGAUUCAAGACACUCGAGAAACUCUGCUACACACUUAAAUACAAUCCUUACGAAGGACUUCAGGAAAACCCCAACUUUAUCAUCAGAGACAUGGUCUCCUGACAUACCACGAGCAAUACGUUUCAGAACAGACCAGCAAAAACACACUGAAAUUAGGCGAGCAAAGCAGUUACUGAAGAUGGACGGCUGGACAGAUGAUUGGUGCAGCCCAGAGGAACGUAGGAGCAUCCGAAGGCAUUUAUUUUGAACAUCACUAUAUGCAUUUUAAAUAUUUAAAAAAAAUAUUUUAAAUAAUCCCCCUUAUAAUCUAUAUUCAUACAUUUAUACACUUAACAAAAAUACAAUGCAAUUUUAUAUAAACAAUUUUAUAUUUGACUCAAAUUUUUGUCAGCCAAAUUAUACUCUGCCUUGUCUGUCUCUGUGUCUCCCCCGUACCUCCUGAACUGCAUUUCUGCAACCAGCUAUUUGAGGGCUGUAUAGAAGAAAAGCUAUGUAUGCUAUUGAUCGCAAAACUCAGCAAUGACAUGGGGAUACAAAAAAUAUGCAUUUGCUUCUCUAGAAUGAAUCUUUUUUUUUGUUUGUUUCAAACCCAAACUGUGAUAUGUUAAUACACCCAGACAACAGGUGACCAAAAUCCUUAAAACAUGUCAUCGAUCAUUUCAAAGUAACUAAUAAAA